Molecule: long non-coding RNA, 821 nt
Organism: Centruroides sculpturatus (bark scorpion)
Lineage: Eukaryota; Metazoa; Arthropoda; Arachnida; Scorpiones; Buthidae
Exons: 3
Source: RefSeq, a predicted model, not a curated record
GAUAAGUGCGUGUCUAAUACGUUUUGCUGACCGAGGUUAGUUAAGAACAGACGAUGUCUUCGGAUUCGGAAAAUAAGAAAUCAGACACGAGAGGGCGUUUUUGGAGAGUGGAGGUUCGCUUGUAGCUGGAGGCGCGAAGAGAAAAAGUGAAUCUCCACAUGAACCCCGAGAAAAAGAAGAAGAGAAAAAGCAGACGAUGAGAGGAAAUUUUUGUGAUUAAAGUUAAGUCAAUAUGGAAACUCGAGUCGAGUCUCAACAUUGUCACAUCAGAAAACGUCAAUCCUUUUGAAAUUUUAAAAGAAUUAUCUUGAAUUAUCACAAUACGUUAUGGAUCAUUAUAUGAAAUGGUAGAAUCGGCUUCCGAAGAAGAUAGUAUGUUUGCAAACCAAUUAUAUGAGACUUGAAACUAUGAUAGAUGAUCUUAUGUCCCAAAGAGACGUCGAACGGAAAAUAUCUAGCAUGUAUUAUUGUUCCACAUUAAUUGUGCUAACAUCCUUUCAUCAUAAAUAAAGGAUAUCUCUUCCUUUCCGAAGACUAUUAUGAUUUUAAAUGUUCAUCAUCAGCAAAUAUGUCGCAAACUACAGUAUUGUGCUAUGGGAUCGCAAGCAGCCUUUGUGUUAAAAGACUAAAAACGUAACUGGAAUUGGCAAACUCUGAGAAGUCAGGUGUCUGAAGGUGCCAAACAAGCGAACACUGUGCUUCUAGAAAAAUCAGGUACACUACACACAUUUCAUAUGGGUAGCAUAGAAAAUAUAGUCAAAUUAAUCGUCGUGUCAUACACAAGGUGUGCCCACCGUUGCCGAGUGGAGAAAACUACGUAA